This is a long non-coding RNA of Hippocampus zosterae (dwarf seahorse), 228 nucleotides long. RefSeq lists it as uncharacterized. The record is from RefSeq and is a predicted model, not a curated record. Lineage: Eukaryota; Metazoa; Chordata; Actinopteri; Syngnathiformes; Syngnathidae. The transcript is spliced from 2 exons.
AGGAACUGUUUUUCUCCCCACCUAACUUAAAGUUAAAAUGUAUGAAGCUUUUCUUUGUUUGGUGUCUUAUUUCUUCCUAUGAAGUAUUGUUGCACUGUACAGUAUUUCUAUGUUGUACCAUAUUUAUUUUCAACUGCACACUGAUUAAAAUUUGAAAACACAAAUCUUACCAUAAGAAAUAUAAUCUAGGGGUUGUAACGGAUAAAUGGCAAUUCCAUUCAUUUCAAU